Monodelphis domestica (gray short-tailed opossum) is the source of this 1895-nucleotide long non-coding RNA. RefSeq lists it as uncharacterized. Lineage: Eukaryota; Metazoa; Chordata; Mammalia; Didelphimorphia; Didelphidae. The record is from RefSeq and is a predicted model, not a curated record.
GCUGCCACAUGCUAGCAGCUACUGGGAGCCACAAGUGAGAGCUGGGUGUCAGGUGGGGGUCAGAGGCUGGAGAGCUGCCCUAGGAGGGCACGACAUGCCCUCCAUACCAGAGAUACUACCCCUCCCUGAACACCCCAUACACCCCAGGGUUCUCUGAAUACUAAAGGUUAAUCAGCUGGAGAGUCAACAGCCUUGAAGAUGCUUCUGGAUGAAGAUCCUCCCCCCAUCCCUGUAUCCUCCAUGCAACACGUAUCCGGAUGAUCUUCUUCUCAGAAGAUUUCAUCAACUCCUGAGUCUGAGGCUGGACUGUCUGACUGAACUUGCCCAGUGACUCUCCCAGUCAUUCAACAUCCAUGGCAGGGACCCUCAAAGUUGAGGCUCUCCUUAUUACUGCUGAUUUCCUCCAGUUCCUUGGUAGUUUCAGCAAGUGCUUGCUGCCUGAACAAAGUGAGGGACUGGAGCACAACUGGAGAGAAUCAUGGCCAGAAUUGUAAGGGAGAAGAACUGGUCUGGAGACAAGGCUUUGUGAAGACUAGGUGCUGGCUCUCAGUCAAGGGGAGGCACUGAUUUCUUCUAUUCCUGUGCUCAGAGAGGCAACAUAUUAGAAUAUGCAAAGGACCUGCCAAGAGAGAUCUCAGUUCGAGUUCUGUUUCUGACGUCCUAGCAUGGCAAGGAAAAGGCUAACCCACCAGCUGGCAGGCUGCAUCGAGAAGAGGGUGAGGCAGUGUGCUGAUGCCAGGCAUCACACAUGGGGGACAGGAGCGAGGGCCUCCCGGAGCAUGGCGACAGAAACUCCCAAGGGGAGAGGAUCGAGAUCCCGAAUCUUUAGCCAGUUCCUAUAUGGGAAGAAUAGCUCUAAAGGGCUGGUGCCCUUCUGGUUUUCCUUCCAGAACCCACCAAGGGAUGGAUUUCCUGCUGUCGGAAUUCCUGCCACCUCUGAGGACAUUCACCCUUUCUGUGUUACUUACCCUCCUCUUUGCCCUCUCCUCCUCUCACCCCAAGCGAGAGGCUCGCCAAAGCAGUGUCCUGCUGACUCUUCUCUGAGGACCUUUGGCGUUUAAGCAGUAUGGCAGAGAAGUGUGCAAGCCACGGAGAAUGCCAGUGGAAAGCAGAGAUUUGGGUUAGAAUUCAUGCUAAGAGCGUCCCCGAGCAUUGUGCCAAGACCCAAAGCCUGGUGCCUGGUGCUCAGUAUUAGAGUUCUAGCCUGGAGUGUCUGCAAGUGCCAGGAGCCCCGGGCAUCCAGCUGGGCUUAGGCAGUAAGGAGCUUGGGAAGCCUUCCGGAGAUGCUUUCCUUAGUUCUGGUCAACCUGAUUUGGGGCUUUUUGUGGGAGAGGGGCCACGUGGGAUUCCACGGGGUUUGGGGAGCCUUCUCUGCCCACUGAUUCUGAUUGGUGCAUGUUCUGCUGCCUGGCAUCCCUGAGGGGUUAAGUGUGUGACUUAGCAUCCCCCUACAUACAUAAAAUGUAUGUUGUCUAAUGUUCUCCACUUCACAGAAGAAGAGACAAUGUGCUAGAGUUAAGUGACUUACCCAAGGUCACACAGUCAGAUUUGAAAUUUGAACCCAGGCUUUCUGCCUUGAAGUCCACCAACCUUUUCAAUGGAUCAUGCUGUUUUAUUGGCAGUGUUGUGAUGAGGAGCAAACAGCUCCAACCAGAGAAUGGCAAGAGACCUGGUUACUGUUCCUGCCUCCGGCCCCACCUACCUGGACAGAAACAUUUCCCUGUCUGGCCUCAGUUACUCUCUUUGUAAAAUGAGAGGCUCUAAUUUCUAAUUAGAUUUAGGCUCUAAAUUCUCUAAUCUGAGAAAGUUUGAAUUGGGGGGAGGGGGGUCCCCAACACAUUCCCAUCUCUCCUUAACCUCUUCCCUUGAGAAUGAAGGCUUGAAGCCCUCAUUCG